Molecule: ribosomal RNA, 251 nt
Filed under: uncultured bacterium
Lineage: Bacteria
Description: partial 16S ribosomal RNA
Rfam family: Bacterial small subunit ribosomal RNA
Source: RNAcentral
ACGGAGGAUCCAAGCGUUAUCCGGAUUUAUUGGGUUUAAAGGGUGCGUAGGCGGCAGAUUAAGUUAGAGGUGAAAUUCCGAGGCUCAACCUUGGCACUGCCUCUGAUACUGGUUUGCUAGCGAGUAGAUGCUGUAGGCGGAAUGUGUGGUGUAGCGGUGAAAUGCAUAGAGAUCACACAGAACACCGAUUGCGAAGGCAGCUUACAAAUCUAUAUCGGACGCUGAGGCACGAAAGCGUGGGGAGCAAACAG